GACGAACCGUGCGAACGUUGUUCGGAAUCACUGGGCUUAAAGGGCGCGUAGGCGGGUGUGCAAGUCUGUGGUGAAAGCCCCCGGCUCAACCGGGGAAGUGCCGUGGAUACUGCGCAUCUUAAGGAGGGUAGGGGCAUCUGGAACGGUCGGUGGAGCGGUGAAAUGCGUUGAUAUCGACCGGAACUCCGGUGGCGAAGGCGAGGUGCUGGACCCUUUCUGACGCUGAGGCGCGAAAGCCAGGGGAGCGAACGGG
This 253-nucleotide ribosomal RNA is filed under the name uncultured bacterium. RNAcentral's name for it is "partial 16S ribosomal RNA". It matches the Rfam family "Bacterial small subunit ribosomal RNA", at positions 524 to 776 of the family's 1533-position model. The record is from RNAcentral.